CCUUCACCUGAGUGGAUUCGAUCUUGGAGGUAAGAUGAUUAGAGCUCGCAAUUUAUAUAUGUUCAAUGUUCUAUGUUUCUUGUUUUGUCUCUUGCUGUGUUUGGUUGUAAUUUUGGUUUGGGGCACCAUUUCUUUGCCGCGGUUUGUCCUGUCUAAUGUUUGUGCUGUCUAAUGUGCUGUCAUUUGUGUUAUGUGUUUCUUAAGCAUCUCUUUCUGUCCCACAUUGCCCAUGCACGUGGCAUGCAUGGGUCAGGGGUCUUUUCUUGUUGCCCUAAGCACAUGGCACGGGAAAGGAGUUCUGCCAUGUGUCACGGGUUAGAAUGUGUUAUGUUGGAGUCCCCCGAUGCUGCUUUUCUGAACUCGAACCACUGCUGCAGCCCUUACAGCUGAGCCUGGCCCAUGUAGACUGCGAGCCCUGGACUUGCUGUGGAUGUGAACCAGUCCAGCUGAUAUGGACACCCCCUGUCUCUGCAACAGUGUCUGCUAACCAGAAGCCCCUGAUGAAUUCCCCAUUGCCUAAAUUCCUUUUUGCUUUUGACUAGCAUUUCAACCUUCUGGGGUCCCUAACUUCGUCCCAAAGUCAGCAGGAAGCAGUUUGGAAAAGAAUUUCGCCGUCCAUUUUCCCUGGUUAAAAUGCUAAGUCAAAAGGAACUCCCUUGCAUGGGGAUGACAGUAUCUAUCACUCCCUGAUGGGGAUGCUAGAGAGACAGCAAUUCCAUGAUUGGAAUUUACAAAAAAGAAAAUGGGGGAAUGAAGGAACCGGCUUCCCUUUUGGCAGCCAUAACAGCCGAACAUGUGCUUGCCAUAUACCUGCCUUGGUCACUUAGAGGUCAGAUGCCUGUCUUGUGACAAGGAACCAAUCAGAAGUUAGCUGGUGGCGCUAUGCUUUACGACCCUGGGUGUGCUUUACGGACAAGCGCACAGCAAUGACGUAGAGAGCAUAGCAACCACCCUGGGAGGGCCUAUGAGCCAUAACAACCAGUUGACCAAUCAACACAGGGCAAGCCCUCCAAGCCUGGAGGCACACCAAUCAUGAGCCUGUGCGUAAGCCUGUGCGUACCCCUAGACACUCCCCUUACGCUGCCCUAUAAGAUCUUUGGGGAGACCUUAG
RNAcentral lists this long non-coding RNA (1111 nucleotides) under Cricetulus griseus (Chinese hamster). RNAcentral's name for it is "lncRNA (ENSCGRG00015039894.1)". Lineage: Eukaryota; Metazoa; Chordata; Mammalia; Rodentia; Cricetidae. The record is from RNAcentral.